UGCAAAUCAAUAAUUGUACUAAUUAUAAAAAUAAAUUUAAUUUUUAUCUGAAAAAGUAAUAUGAAUGCUAAAUAUUUUAAAAUUCUUUAUAGGAUAUGUUGGAACAUUGCAUCAACAAUUGGAUCAUGCAAAUCAAAAGUCUGGAUUUUCUGAAGAGAAGUACUAUGUUCAGCAGGUAUUGCUGUUUUAUUCAAAUUAUGACUUUUAUUAACAAAGAUAUUGAUUUAUGUCAUUUCAUAGAGUCUUAUUGUCUUAUUUUAAUUAACAAUAUUCUGUUUUUGCUUGCAUGCAUAACCCCCAUUAACAAAAUUUAUCUUGC
Molecule: long non-coding RNA, 319 nt
Filed under: Androctonus crassicauda
Lineage: Eukaryota; Metazoa; Arthropoda; Arachnida; Scorpiones; Buthidae
Source: RNAcentral